Molecule: non-coding RNA, 76 nt
Organism: Desmophyllum pertusum
Lineage: Eukaryota; Metazoa; Cnidaria; Anthozoa; Scleractinia; Caryophylliidae
Source: the annotation of a GenBank genome assembly
UCUCCUGUAGCUCAGUAGUAGAGCGUUCGACCGGUGUACGGAAGGUCAUAGGUUCAACUCCUGUUUUCCGGGAAAC